UGGGGAAUCUUGGACAAUGGGGGCAACCCUGAUCCAGCCAUGCCGCGUGAGUGAUGAAGGCCUUAGGGUCGUAAAGCUCUUUCGCCUGUGAAGAUAAUGACGGUAGCAGGUAAAGAAACCCCGGCUAACUCCGUGCCAGCAGCCGCGGUAAUACGGAGGGGGUUAGCGUUGUUCGGAAUUACUGGGCGUAAAGCGCACGUAGGCGGACCAGAAAGUUGGGGGUGAAAUCCCGGGGGCUCAACCCCGGAACUGCCUCCAAAACUAUUGGUCUAGAGUUCGAGAGAGGUGAGUGGAAUUCCAAGUGUAGAGGUGAAAUUCGUAGAUAUUUGGAGGAACACCAGUGGCGAAGGCGGCUCACUGGCUCGAUACUGACGCUGAGGUGCGAAAGUGUGGGGAGCAAACAGGAUUAGAUACCCUGGUAGUCCACACCGUAAAACGAUGAAUGCCAGUCGUCGGGUAGCAUGCUAUUCGGUGACACACCUAACGGAUUAAGCAUUCCGCCUGGGGAGUACGG
This 514-nucleotide ribosomal RNA is filed under the name uncultured bacterium. RNAcentral describes it as "bacterial SSU rRNA". It matches the Rfam family "Bacterial small subunit ribosomal RNA", at positions 355 to 885 of the family's 1533-position model. The record is from RNAcentral.